RNAcentral lists this unclassified non-coding RNA (200 nucleotides) under Helotiales sp. Its description in RNAcentral is "partial internal transcribed spacer 2". The record is from RNAcentral. Lineage: Eukaryota; Fungi; Ascomycota; Leotiomycetes; Helotiales.
UUAAGUUCAGCGGGUAUCCCUACCUGAUCCGAGGUCAACCAUAGGAGGUGGGGGUUGCUGGCCAGCGUCGACCAGUGUCCUGUAGCGAGGAUGUUUACUACGCUCAGGGCCUGGUGGCACCGCCACUGAUUUUAAGGCCCGCCAGGUGAGUGGCGGGGCCCAAGACAAGCAAUUUGCUUGAGGGGUUGUAAUGACGCUCG